ACUGCGGGAGGCAGCAGUGGGGGAUAUUGCACAAUGGGGGGAACCCUGAUGCAGCGACGCCGCGUGGGUGAAGAAGCGCCUCGGCGCGUAAAGCCCUGUCAGCAGGGAAGAAAAUGACGGUACCUGAAGAAGAAGCCCCGGCUCACUACGUGCCAGCAGCCGCGGUAAUAAGUAGGGGGCAAGCGUUAUCCGGAUUUACUGGGUGUAAAGGGGGCGCAGACGGCGAUGCAAGCGAGGAGUGAAAUCCCGGGGCCCAACCCCGGGACUGCUCUUGGAACUGCGUGGCUGGAGUGCAGGAGGGGCAGGCGGAAUUCCUGGUGUAGCGGUGAAAUGCGUAGAUAUCAGGAGGAACACCGGUGGCGAAGGCGGCCUGCUGGACUGCAACUGACGUUGAGGCCCGAAAGCGUGGGGAGCAAACAGGAUUAGAUACCCGAGUAGUC
Molecule: ribosomal RNA, 440 nt
Filed under: uncultured bacterium
Lineage: Bacteria
Description: partial 16S ribosomal RNA
Rfam family: Bacterial small subunit ribosomal RNA
Source: RNAcentral